RNAcentral lists this ribosomal RNA (513 nucleotides) under uncultured bacterium. RNAcentral's name for it is "partial 16S ribosomal RNA". It matches the Rfam family "Bacterial small subunit ribosomal RNA", at positions 28 to 523 of the family's 1533-position model. The record is from RNAcentral.
GACGAACGCUGGCGGCAUGCCUAAUACAUGCAAGUCGAGCGAACAGAUGAAGUGCCUGCACUUCUGACGUUAGCGGCGAACGGGUGAGUAACACGUAAGGAAUCUACCUAUAAGCGGGGGAUAACAUUCGGAAACGGGUGCUAAUACCGCAUAAUAUCUUCUUCCGCAUGGAAGAAGAUUGAGAGACGGCUCUGCUGUCACUUAUAGAUGACCUUGCGGUGCAUUAGUUAGUUGGUGGGGUAACGGCCUACCAAGACGAAGAUGCAUAGCCGACCUAAGAGGGUGAUCGGCAACAUUGGGACUGAGACACGGCCCAAACUCCUACGGGAGGCAGCAGUAGGGAAUCUUCCGCAAUGGGCGAAAGCCUGACGGAGCAAUGCCGCGUGAGUGAAGAAGGCCUUCGGGUCGUAAAACUCUGUUAUAAGAGAAGAACAAAUUGUAGAGUAACUGCUACAGUCUUGCCGGUAUCUUAUCAGAAAGCCACGGCUAACUACGUGCCAGCCGCCGCCGUAA